RNAcentral lists this ribosomal RNA (266 nucleotides) under uncultured prokaryote. RNAcentral describes it as "partial 16S ribosomal RNA". It matches the Rfam family "Bacterial small subunit ribosomal RNA", at positions 917 to 1178 of the family's 1533-position model. The record is from RNAcentral.
GGACCCGCACAAGCGGUGGAGCAUGUGGUUUAAUUCGAAGCAACGCGAAGAACCUUACCAAAUCUUGACAUCCUUUGACAACUCUAGAGAUAGAGCUUUCCCCUUCGGGUGACAAAAGUGACAGGUGGUGCAUGGUUGUCGUCAGCUCGUGUCGUGAGAUGUUGGGUUAAGUCCCGCAACGAGCGCAACCCUUAAGCUUAGUUGCCAGCAUUAAAGUUGGGGCACUCUAAGUUUGACUGCCGGUGACAAACCGGAGGAAGGUGGGG